Molecule: ribosomal RNA, 406 nt
Filed under: uncultured bacterium
Lineage: Bacteria
Description: partial 16S ribosomal RNA
Rfam family: Bacterial small subunit ribosomal RNA
Source: RNAcentral
AUUGAACGCUGGCGGCAGGCUUAACACAUGCAAGUCGAGCGAGCGGCGGACGGGUGAGUGAUGUCUGGGAAACUGCCUGAUGUAGGGGGAUAACUACUGGAAACGGUAGCUAAUACCGCAUACCAUCAGAUGUGCCCAGAUGGGAUUAGCUAGUAGGUGGGGUAAUGGCUCACCUAGGCGACGAUCCCUAGCUGGUCUGAGAGGCUGACCGGCAACACUGGGACUGAGACACGGUCCAGACUCCUACGGGAGGCAGCAGUGGGGAAUAUUGCACAAUGGGCGAAAGCCUGAUGCAGCCAUGCCGCGUGUGUGAAGAAGGUCUUCGGGUUGUAAAGCACUUUCAGCGAGGAGGCGUUACUCACAGAGAAAGCACCGGCUAACUCCGUGCCAGCCGCCGCGGUAAUAC